This 508-nucleotide long non-coding RNA is filed under the name Bos taurus (domestic cattle). RNAcentral's name for it is "long non-coding RNA NONBTAT022457". Lineage: Eukaryota; Metazoa; Chordata; Mammalia; Artiodactyla; Bovidae. The record is from RNAcentral.
GUUUCUGAAACAGAAGGAAAUAACCUAUGUGAGGUUCUAAAGCUAAGAGAGAAUUGUUCUUUCAAACAGCUGAGUUAAUUGGGGCUUGGUCUUAGACUUCUAUGGAGAUAGAGAUGUUAGGAAAGGAGAGGUUGCAGAAGUAAAAUAAAGAUCAGGGAAGGACUUAGCCAUGGUUAGAAGAUUGACUUUUAACGUUAUUCCAUGUUAAAGUAUAAUAAUCCAGCCUUAUUCAUGAGAAUCAUCUUUAUAAUAGUUAUGAAAUUUAUUAUUUGCAAUUUUAAGCAGUUCCACAAUCUGUGGUAAUUCAUAGCCAUCUAUGUGGUAUAGUCAUUCACCCAUCUCUACAUAAUUAUGAUCUAUUUUUCAUUCUUUUGUUAUUUUUGGGGUUCACUCUUCUGAAAAAAACUCAGCUAAUGCUUUCUUUCACAUUCACUAAAGAGCAUAUUAGUGAUCACCACUGUUAGAUCGUUAACUAACCUGGGCUGCUUCUUGCCUGGCCAACCACCCU